GGUUCGUAGCUCAGUGGUCAGAGCGAUGGUCUUGCGAGCCAUAGGUCGUGGGUUCGACCCCCGCCGGGACUA
This 72-nucleotide transfer RNA is filed under the name Perkinsus olseni. It matches the Rfam family "tRNA". From Rfam's summary of the family: Transfer RNA (tRNA) molecules are approximately 80 nucleotides in length. Lineage: Eukaryota; Perkinsozoa; Perkinsida; Perkinsidae. The record is from Rfam by way of RNAcentral.